RNAcentral lists this ribosomal RNA (247 nucleotides) under uncultured bacterium. RNAcentral describes it as "partial small subunit ribosomal RNA". It matches the Rfam family "Bacterial small subunit ribosomal RNA", at positions 26 to 286 of the family's 1533-position model. The record is from RNAcentral.
AGAAUCAACGCUGGCGGCGUGCCUAACACAUGCAAGUCGCACGAGAAAGUGGAGCAAUCCACGAGUAAAGUGGCGCACGGGUGAGUAACACGUGAAUAAUCUACCUCCGAGUGGGGAAUAACUGAGAGAAAUCUUAGCUAAUACCGCAUAAUACCCACGGGUCAAAGCAGCAAUGCGCUUGGAGAGGAGUUCGCGGCCGAUUAGCUAGUUGGCGGGGUAAUGGCCCUACCAAGGCGAUGAUCGGUAU